AGAGUUUGAUCAUGGCUCAGAUUGAACGCUGGCGGCAGGCCUAACACAUGCAAGUCGAGCGGUAGCACAGAGAGCUUGCUCUCGGGUGACGAGCGGCGGACGGGUGAGUAAUGUCUGGGAAACUGCCUGAUGGAGGGGGAUAACUACUGGAAACGGUAGCUAAUACCGCAUAAUGUCGCAAGACCAAAGUGGGGGACCUUCGGGCCUCAUGCCAUCAGAUGUGCCCAGAUGGGAUUAGCUAGUAGGUGGGGUAACGGCUCACCUAGGCGACGAUCCCUAGCUGGUCUGAGAGGAUGACCAGCCACACUGGAACUGAGACACGGUCCAGACUCCUACGGGAGGCAGCAGUGGGGAAUAUUGCACAAUGGGCGCAAGCCUGAUGCAGCCAUGCCGCGUGUGUGAAGAAGGCCUUCGGGUUGUAAAGCACUUUCAGCGGGGAGGAAGGCGAUAAGGUUAAUAACCUUGUUGAUUGACGUUACCCGCAGAAGAAGCACCGGCUAACUCCGUGCCAGCAGCCGCGGUAAUACGGAGGGUGCAAGCGUUAAUCGGAAUUACUGGGCGUAAAGCGCACGCAGGCGGUCUGUCAAGUCGGAUGUGAAAUCCCCGGGCUCAACCUGGGAACUGCAUUCGAAACUGGCAGGCUAGAGUCUUGUAGAGGGGGGUAGAAUUCCAGGUGUAGCGGUGAAAUGCGUAGAGAUCUGGAGGAAUACCGGUGGCGAAGGCGGCCCCCUGGACAAAGACUGACGCUCAGGUGCGAAAGCGUGGGGAGCAAACAGGAUUAGAUACCCUGGUAGUCCACGCCGUAAACGAUGUCGAUUUGGAGGUUGUGCCCUUGAGGCGUGGCUUCCGGAGCUAACGCGUUAAAUCGACCGCCUGGGGAGUACGGCCGCAAGGUUAAAACUCAAAUGAAUUGACGGGGGCCCGCACAAGCGGUGGAGCAUGUGGUUUAAUUCGAUGCAACGCGAAGAACCUUACCUGGUCUUGACAUCCACAGAACUUAGCAGAGAUGCUUUGGUGCCUUCGGGAACUGUGAGACAGGUGCUGCAUGGCUGUCGUCAGCUCGUGUUGUGAAAUGUUGGGUUAAGUCCCGCAACGAGCGCAACCCU
RNAcentral lists this ribosomal RNA (1106 nucleotides) under Klebsiella pneumoniae. RNAcentral describes it as "bacterial SSU rRNA". It matches the Rfam family "Bacterial small subunit ribosomal RNA", at positions 8 to 1105 of the family's 1533-position model. Lineage: Bacteria; Pseudomonadati; Pseudomonadota; Gammaproteobacteria; Enterobacterales; Enterobacteriaceae. RNAcentral also lists the same sequence under 1 other name. The record is from RNAcentral.